This 492-nucleotide ribosomal RNA is filed under the name uncultured bacterium. Its description in RNAcentral is "partial 16S ribosomal RNA". It matches the Rfam family "Bacterial small subunit ribosomal RNA", at positions 29 to 507 of the family's 1533-position model. The record is from RNAcentral.
AGUGAACGCUGGCGGUAGGCCUAACACAUGCAAGUCGAACGGCAGCACAGUAAGAGCUUGCUCUUACGGGUGGCGAGUGGCGGACGGGUGAGGAAUACAUCGGAAUCUACUUUUUCGUGGGGGGUAACGUAGGGAAACUUACGCUAAUACCGCAUACGACCUACGGGUGAAAGCAGGGGAUCUUCGGACCUUGCGCGAUUGAAUGAGCCGAUGUCGGAUUAGCUAGUUGGCGGGGUAAAGGCCCACCAAGGCGACGAUCCGUAGCUGGUCUGAGAGGAUGAUCAGCCACACUGGAACUGAGACACGGUCCAGACUCCUACGGGAGGCAGCAGUGGGGAAUAUUGGACAAUGGGCGCAAGCCUGAUCCAGCAAUACCGCGUGGGUGAAGAAGGCCUUCGGGUUGUAAAGCCCUUUUGUUGGGAAAGAAAAGCAGCAGGUUAAUACCCCGCUGUUCUGACGGUACCCAAAGAAUAAGCACCGGCUAACUUCGUG